AGAGUUUGAUCAUGGCUCAGGAUGAACGCUGGCGGCGUGCCUAACACAUGCAAGUCGAGCGAUUCUCUUCGGAGAAGAGCGGCGGACGGGUGAGUAACGCGUGGGUAACCUGCCCUGUACACACGGAUAACAUACCGAAAGGUAUGCUAAUACGGGAUAAUAUAUUUUUAUCACAUGGUAAAAAUAUCAAAGCUCCGGCG
Molecule: ribosomal RNA, 200 nt
Filed under: uncultured bacterium
Lineage: Bacteria
Description: partial 16S ribosomal RNA
Rfam family: Bacterial small subunit ribosomal RNA
Source: RNAcentral